CCUACGGGAGGCAGCAGUGAGGAAUAUUGGUCAAUGGACGAGAGUCUGAACCAGCCAAGUAGCGUGAAGGAUGACUGCCCUAUGGGUUGUAAACUUCUUUUAUAAAGGAAUAAAACGAGGCACGUGUGCCUUUUUGCAUGUACUUUAUGAAUAAGGAUCGGCUAACUCCGUGCCAGCAGCCGCGGUAAUACGGAGGAUCCGAGCGUUAUCCGGAUUUAUUGGGUUUAAAGGGAGCGUAGAUGGGUUGUUAAGUCAGUGGUUAAAGUUUGCGGCUCAACCGUAAAAUUGCAAUUGAUACUGGCAGUCUUGAGUACAGUUGAGGUAGGCGGAAUUCGUGGUGUAGCGGUGAAAUGCUUAGAUAUCACGAAGAACCCCGAUUGCGAAGGCAGCUUACUAAACUGUGACUGACAUUGAUGCUCGAAAGUGUGGGUAUCAAACAGGAUUAGAUACCCGGGUAGUC
This 460-nucleotide ribosomal RNA is filed under the name uncultured bacterium. RNAcentral describes it as "partial 16S ribosomal RNA". It matches the Rfam family "Bacterial small subunit ribosomal RNA", at positions 338 to 795 of the family's 1533-position model. The record is from RNAcentral.